RNAcentral lists this ribosomal RNA (250 nucleotides) under uncultured bacterium. RNAcentral's name for it is "partial 16S ribosomal RNA". It matches the Rfam family "Bacterial small subunit ribosomal RNA", at positions 29 to 306 of the family's 1533-position model. The record is from RNAcentral.
AGCGAACGCUGGCGGCAUGCCUAACACAUGCAAGUCGCGCGGUCAGCAAUGGCAGCGGCGGACGGGUGCGUAACGCGUAGGAACGUGUCCUGAGGUGGGGGACAACCCUGGGAAACUGGGGCUAAUACCGCAUAUGGGCUGAGGCCCAAAGCCGAAAGGCGCCUUAGGAGCGGCCUGCGUCCGAUUAGCUAGUUGGUGGGGUAACUGCCUACCAAGGCUCCGAUCGGUAGCUGGUCUGAGAGGACGAUCA